GAUGAACGCUGGCGGCGUGCCUAAUACAUGCAAGUCGAGCGAACGGACGAGAAGCUUGCUUCUCUGAUGUUAGCGGCGGACGGGUGAGUAACACGUGGAUAACCUACCUAUAAGACUGGGAUAACUUCGGGAAACCGGAGCUAAUACCGGAUAAUAUUUUGAACCGCAUGGUUCAAAAGUGAAAGACGGUCUUGCUGUCACUUAUAGAUGGAUCCGCGCUGCAUUAGCUAGUUGGUAAGGUAACGGCUUACCAAGGCAACGAUGCAUAGCCGACCUGAGAGGGUGAUCGGACACACUGGAACUGAGACACGGUCCAGACUCCUACGGGAGGCAGCAGUAGGGAAUCUUCCGCAAUGGGCGAAAGCCUGACGGAGCAACGCCGCGUGAGUGAUGAAGGUCUUCGGAUCGUAAAACGCUGUUAUUAGGGAAGAACAUAUGUGUAAGUAACUGUGCACAUCUUGACGGUACCUAAUCAGAAAGCCACGGCUAACUACGUG
RNAcentral lists this ribosomal RNA (497 nucleotides) under uncultured bacterium. RNAcentral's name for it is "partial 16S ribosomal RNA". It matches the Rfam family "Bacterial small subunit ribosomal RNA", at positions 28 to 507 of the family's 1533-position model. The record is from RNAcentral.